Molecule: ribosomal RNA, 77 nt
Filed under: Vibrio parahaemolyticus 863
Lineage: Bacteria; Pseudomonadati; Pseudomonadota; Gammaproteobacteria; Vibrionales; Vibrionaceae
Description: partial 16S ribosomal RNA
Rfam family: Bacterial small subunit ribosomal RNA (bases 1-68)
Source: RNAcentral
GGUUCAUGACUGGGGUGAAGUCGUAACAAGGUAGCGCUAGGGGAACCUGGCGCUGGAUCACCUCCUUAAACGAUGAU